This is an RNA transcript of Nasonia vitripennis (jewel wasp), 6713 nucleotides long. RefSeq lists it as uncharacterized. The record is from RefSeq and is a predicted model, not a curated record. Lineage: Eukaryota; Metazoa; Arthropoda; Insecta; Hymenoptera; Pteromalidae. The transcript has 13 exons.
AGUAUAGUCUAAGAUCGGUGCAACGACACCAUCAGGGGAGAGAGAAAAAAGAACCACCCCCCACAUUAAUACGUCCCUGGCGCAACCCUCGCUGCACCGGCUCGGCUAUAUAGAGGGCAGUUUGCGCCUGCGCAGUACAUCGGAUCAAUCCAUACCGUCCGCCUCCGUCUCUCUCUUUCUCUCUCUCUCUCUUGCUCGGAGGAACUUGCGCAGCGACGUCGUUCGCUCCUGGCGCUGCAAGCUCCUACGUCGCAGACGUGCGCCACCGGCAGCAGGACGUUCUUCCUCGUCGUCCGCUAAAGCGAUAUCGUUGAAUCCCUCCUCGUCAUCAUGUGAGUGUCUCCGAGUCAGAAGUACCUACACGAGAGAAGCAGUGGUUCCAGCUUGUGUUUGCUGGAUUUUCUGGAGGGAAGAGAGAGAGAGAGCGAUGGAGAGGAAGUGAGGAAGGCAAGAAGAGCCAAGUGAUUCUCGAGGAGCUAAAAUGGCGAGGCACAGGUAUUACGAGGACGACGAGGAGUUCCGCUACGGGCUGAGGUAUCAGGAGGAUCUGCAGGAGAACGAGAAGGGAGAGCCCUCGGCGAGAGCCUCUUCUGCGGGCGAUAGCAAGAGCGCGUCGAAGAGGGGCGCGCCACACACACGGGGCACCGCCAUAUCCUUCGGCUUCCGCCGGCGCCCGGCGGCCACCGGCAUUCCCGUCCCCGUAGCCAAGUACCAGGAGACCAGCAGCUCGGCGGCUCACCAGCGCUCCAAGUCCGUCGGUCCCGAGCACGAGUCGGCCCGGCGUCGCCAGGCCGACGAGGACUUCUGCCAGCCGUCCUCCCGCUACCAGAACUACUCGUCCUCCGGCAGGUCGACUCCGCGACUGGCUCCGCCCAAGAAGGCCCAGGAGUCCAGCGGACUGCCCGUCAGGACCAACAGAUUCGGCUUCCGAACCCAGCAGCAGAGGUUCACCGAUAAAGUCACCGACCUCUCCUUCAACAAUCACAGCGUCAGGGAUUUCGGGCACCAGGAGAAGCUCGACCAGUUCCAGAGCGUUCACCAGGAGGAGGCGAGCUUCAGGGCCAGGCAGAACAGGUCGCCGGCCCAGCCGAAGCCCAGACCGUCGCCCAUCAAUCAGCCGAGCUACAACAACAACCUGAACAACAAUGUCGACGCCAACAGGAGGGGCUCGGACAUACCGACGCCGGUGGGAAAGUACACGCUGCACUCGUCCCACCUGCCGCUGCCGCAGUACGCCGUGAGGAUGAGCGACGCCAGCUCCAAGAUCGCCAAGACCGUCGCCAACCAGAGUCGCAAGGUUGGAGUCUCCUCGGCCAGGGCCACAACAGCAGGCACCUGCAGCUCGAAGGAGGGCUCCGGAACCGAGGACUCCGGAGUCGGCAGCCAACACGGCGGCUGCUCCGACGAGAAUGGCGCCGGCGGAAGGUCCAGGUACGAGUACUACGAGAGCACGAGGCGACAGCCCAGGAAGCUGGGUCUCACGAUCACCGGCAAGAGCUUCGACGUGCGAGACGUCGACGACGAGGAUCACACCGUCACCGAGAUAUCCGUCAUCCCGCUGCCCAAGAACUUUGCUCAGCAGCAGCUCCAGCAAGCCGCCAGCGCGCACCAUCGCAGCCUCAGUCACCAGCUGAACACCGGCCUGGUGCGGGAGAGGACUAACCAGUACCAGCGAGCCAUCCUCAGCAAGGACAAUAGGUUCAACGACUCGACGACCUCCAUGUCCACCACCUCGUCCGAGGGCUACGACGAAGGCUUGGGAGAGGAGAAGGCUUACAAAGACAGAUCACGCUCGGAGAAGCUCGCCGCGACCUCCUCGUGCUCCUCGUCCGUGAUGAUGCGUUCGACCGACCUGAGUCCCCCCAGUUCCGACGAACAGGAGUUCGGCCACGGAGGCGAGGCCAUGGCCGACGAGUACUCCUUCAGCUCCAACGAGGACUACAACCAGAGGAUGGAGAGCCUGGCCAUCAACACCGUCACCCAGACGACCAGCCAGCACAUCAAGGCCAUCUCGAACGCGGCCAAGAGCGGAGCUCUGCCCAAGAGCACACUGCGCUCGGUGAUGCUGACCAUCGAGGACCCGGCGUUCGCGGCCGUGGCGGCGACCACCACGACCCUCAUCGAUGACGAGACUUCGCCGGUCGACAGUCUCUUCGACAGCCCCACCGCCAGCGUCUCCCAGUCCGACGUAAAGCUGCCCAAGAAGGAGAACAUCAACGUCAUGGAGAGGUCGGGGAACACCAUCGAGGACGACAGUCCCGGCACGCCGACCAACGCUUCGAACUCGCUGAGCUUGUCCGAGGGCAGGGAGUACUUCGACGACGAGAUCGCCGACCAGCCGGGACUGGUGUUCGACGAGACGCUCAGGGAUGCAUCGACCGCCAAUACGGACCACAGUCAGACUGUCCUGGAGACUCAACCCAAAAUUAACGCACUGCAAGGCCGGAGCGUGGAGAACAGUCCGAUGCACGGGCGCAAGAUGAAUCGAGCUGGCAGCGUCAGCACAUUGUCUUCCUGCGAGUCUCUCGCCUCGGACGAUCUGAUGAUGGACUACGAGCGCAGCGACGCCAGCUCCUUCGGAGACGUCAAUACUCGGGGAAAUUCAACAUUCGUCAUGCAAGACUUGGAUGACGCAACGAGUCUUCUGGAGCUAGAAAUACAGGGACAAGAAGUGAUGAAGGAGUGGAACACGCUGUUGGGCCAGUCCCAUCAGGCGCUUUCCAAUUCAACGAAUAACAAUAUCAACGUCGGCCUCAACAAUAAUCAAAACACGGAUUCUGGGCUCAACAACAGAACGACGCGGCUGCUGCACAGCAGGUCGAGCACCGAGUCGCCGCGUUCGCUCGAUGGAACCCGGGGCCGGCAGGUGUUCAGUCCCCUCAGACCACCGAGAAAUGUACAGUCGCCGAGUAUGGACGGUUCCGGGGACGAGGGUAGCCUGAGGCUCGAACGCGGAACGUACAGCUACAUGUUUCAGGAUAUCGUUUCCAUAAAAACGAUGCUUCUGAAAUUGAAACGGGUCCUUCAGGAGUCAGGAGAGAACGGUUUGACGAGGACGGAAACUCUCAACCCAUUCGAUAAUACAUUAAAGAAUGGUCUCUUCUACAACCUGAACGACGGCAGCGCGACGACGGACGCGACCAUGUCUCCCAACGACGGGAGAGAGAGCGUCGCCGACGAGUUGUCCGACCUACGCCGGCAGGUCGUCUUCCUACAGGGUCAAGUCGACGAUAAGGAUCGCACGAUACAGUCCUUACAGGCGCAGCUGACCAAGUAUCAGAACGCGAGCGGCGCGGAGCUUGCCAGCGAUUUAUCGCCGACGCUCAACGGCAGGGGCGAGCCCCGCGAGACGUCAAACGCGGCCACGCAAACGGAAAAGUUGCGACCAGUUUCGGCAGGACCGUCGAUAUUACAGGGAUUUUCUCAGGAUAACGGCAUGGGUCCCCUCGUUAGCUUCAGGAUCGGGAAGGUAGAGUGCGUCAGUCUGUGUGAUAUACUGUUGGGAUACGUACUACUUUGCGCGUUAAAUGCCCUUAUUUACAUGCACCUGGAACACUUGCAAGCCAUUUGUUCCGCUUUUUAUUCGUUUACGUAGUACCUAGAGUAUAAAAUACUUUGGCUUAAUAUUUUUUUUUCUCAUUUCUCCGAAAUCUGCAUGGACUCGUCGUUAUUGUCUUAUAUAUCCCUAUACAUAUAGAUUAUAUUAUACUGUAAAUACGUACUUGAUGUUGUUGAUGAUUCAAACAUUUAUCUUCAGAUACGUGAAUAUUUUUUCCCGAAACCAUCAAGUACCAUCAAAUUGUUCAAUCAAAAUAUAUUAUACACGUAUAUAUACUUAUGAUCAAAUAAUAAAGUAGUUUUGUAAUGCUCCCUUUGUUCGUAUUAUUCGAUGGUGAUCAAUUUCAAUUUACAUAUGUAUUACUCAGUAACAAACUCUAGCAUGAGGUCCGAAAGUAGCUUUUGAAUUAGCAAAGUAGCCCUCCCGUUUUAUUUGAAUUUUUCGUUGAGAAUGAAAUGUAUUCUUAAAAUAUAAUGGAUUGACAUUGAAUAAUGUUUCAUGCUGCGAUGGUUAGCCAUGCGGGCUGGAAUGAUUCAUGGAGCGGUCAGCAACAGAGUCCGAGCCCUAGUCAACGGCCGGAGCUAAGCUCCUCGAGCAGCAGCAGCAGUACCACCAGCAGCAGCAAGCUCUCCUCGAGUAGACGAUCUUCAUCGGACUCCCACCACAGUCAUCAGCAGCAACGGCCGUCCAGUCUCCGGGGGCUGCGACUACCCAACGGUCAGUCAUCGCCGCCGGACUCGCCCAAGAUCCGCGCGGCCCGCACCAAGUCCGUCGAGAACGACUCGCCGCCGACGACGACGACGACACCCAUCAGGUCGGCCAUACCGACGCCCAGGAGACUCGCCACGCCUACCCUCAUACCGAGGGCCGCGAGAGCCGUCUCCGCCACGGGCCGAGCGCACAACUCCUAGCAGCCACAGAUCUUUUUCGUUUUCGAGAUUUAGUUUUUUGUUUGCGCCGCCGGUUUUUAAAGGCGCGACGACGAGAGCUUUUCGCUGGAACGAGUUUUAUUGUGUUUGUAAAGGUUGUCGCAAGAGGGAGGGAGUGCUCGAAUUCGGAGUUGUCCACUGCAAACGGUUACUUGACGGUAGUGCCUUUGAUAUAGUGUAAAUGUUGAAUCGCAUUUAUGAAAGAGGGGGAAGGAUUAAGCAACCUGACAAACGCCCGAGUAACUUUCGAAAUUGGGAUUUAUAGCGUUCAGUGGAACACACGCUUGGGAGCACUCUCUGAUAGCUUUCUGCAACGAACUCGAUCGGGUCAUUUUGUGAUUUUUUUUUUAUUUUUAAGCUACCCGGAUUAUUUUGGUUUUGAUUUCAUAGAUUUUUAUUAUACUGUUUUUAAUGCGACAGUAAAUCCAUUACAGAUGCGCAAACAGUUCUAACGAGAACUGUUGUUCAAUUUUCUAAUUGCUAAUGUAUUGUACAGUAGUGAUACUGUUGAAUUUACUAUUUGAUUUUUGACUCAAAUUAUAAUCACCGAUGUGUGUCUAUUGUUUCCAGCCAAAAGUUUUCGUCAUCGAAAAUUUGAAGAAAAAUGUAAAGAGUGAGAGUAAAUGCUCAGGAGCGUUUCAUGCGAAAAAAUGAUUUUCGUCUGCCAGCAGAAAAUUCGUUGUGUAUACUUUACGUUUUCAUUCAGUUUUCAGUGUAUAUUUUCAUUUUGCGCGAAUCUUAUGUAUAUAGUUGCAAGUCAGGAUCGCGAGCGUUACUUUAAUCAUUAUUUUCCUUUGUGUAGCAUUCGAACUGUAUGAUCUUCUAGUUUGUCUUCUAUCUUGUAGUCGUGAAAAAUUGUAAAUAUUUCGUUUUAGAUGGAUUUUUAUUUGAUUUUAGCUGGAUGAUGCAGAUUCCUAUUCAGUAAUUUUAAGUGCAAUGUCUUUUCAUAUUGUUUAAGCAUUAUCAAAUUUGUUUUGAUGUUAUUUAUUAUUUAUUGUAAAAAUAUCUGUUGUCCUGUCUUAAUCAAUUUUCAAUCAAUUGACCUUAAUUUUUAUAUGAUAAAUAAAUCGAGAUCGAAUGUUGUAAUAAAAUCAACGAAUUCAAUCAAUUGCUUAAACAAUAUAAAGAGAAACCAUUCAACAGUAUUUCUGAGAUGAGAGAGAUGCGAUAAUACAACGUUUAGUAAACUACUAGCAGGGUUUGUACAGUCUAAUUUGAGCUUCGCUACUUUAAUAAUAGUUUGUAAAUGUUUAAUUUAUUUCUUCGCAUUAUUUUUGGUGCUAUAAUUUUCCGAUUACAUGCCCAAUGCAUAAACACGUUUCGGCGCCAAUGUACUUAACAACCACAAAAAUUGCGUAGUGACAAUAAAAUCGAGACAGUUGAUUCGAGGCAUUAGCCAACUACGUACUUUUUUCAAAAAAUUGUAAUUGUCUUAUAAUUUAUUGAUACUGAAUCAAAAGGUAAUCGUGUUUUUGUGUAAUAAAAGAAGAAAUAACUGAAUUCCGCUUGAUUGUAACCAUCGCCCGAGGUCGAAGGAAAGUGGUUAGGUGACGAUGAAUUUUGUACGAAGAUAUUAUAAAGACGUUAGAGACAGUUUUAGUGGGACUAGUUGAAUGCAAAAUAUCAUAUAAAUUAGGCUCUCGCGCUACAAAAACAAUCAAUUAGGGAUUCAUUGAAAUUAGUUAUAAUGUUGCUUUUUGACGGAUCAUUUAAAUAUCAGUUCGGUAUUUUAAGCGCGAGUAUUGCUUCAAAGAAUUUGUAAGAGAUGCAGUCAAAAGUGCCGAAGUUCCCAAAAAGUAUGAAGACUUUUUUAAUAUUACUAUUUACCAAUUUACUGUUUAAUCACUUAUUAUGGCUUGGACUGUGUACGACAAAACAUGUACUCAGAAUAUAAAGGAAAGAGAUGAGUAAAGCGAAUUGCGUUUCAAAAAACUAAUCUGAAAUACUACUAUAAAAUAAUGCUGCAAUUUAAAUUUAUAAAACGAAAAUAAUGCUAAACGAGACAUAUGCAAAAUUAUCGAUAAUUGAUUUUUAAGUCCAGCCUAUUAGUGAUAUUUAAACAAAUUAUUCAGUUUUCAAAUGUGCCCCAACUAAUAAUGAAUGGUAAAAUGUCCUAUUUAAUCUUGGAUUGCAAGAUGUAGCACUUAUGAUAGUAAUGCCAUUUGGCAUCGUCUUGAGGCUCAACUGCGAAAAACAGUGAAUAAAGUAUAUUUGCUGGUAAGAAA